UUCAUAGCUCAGUUGGUAGAGCAUGCAACUCUUAAUCUCAGGGUUGUGGGUUUGAGCCCCACAUUGGGCAAAA
RNAcentral lists this transfer RNA (73 nucleotides) under Podarcis lilfordi (Lilford's wall lizard). RNAcentral's name for it is "tRNA.Lys". The stretch from base 5 to 62 matches the Rfam family "tRNA", at positions 8 to 63 of the family's 71-position model. From Rfam's summary of the family: Transfer RNA (tRNA) molecules are approximately 80 nucleotides in length. Their secondary structure includes four short double-helical elements and three loops (D, anti-codon, and T loops). Lineage: Eukaryota; Metazoa; Chordata; Lepidosauria; Squamata; Lacertidae. The record is from RNAcentral.